GAGUAUGAACCCUUCCUUUGCUUUUGUAGAAUGCAGAGAGCAGUUUGCAGCAGAAGAAUGAAGCCAUCACAUCCUUUGAAGGAAAAACCAACCAAGUUAUGUCCAGCAUGAAACAAAUGGAAGAAAGGUUGCAGCACUCGGAGCGGGCGAGGCAGGGGGCUGAGGAGCGGAGCCACAAGCUGCAGCAGGAGCUGGGCGGGAGGAUUGGCGCCCUGCAGCUGCAGCUCUCCCAGCUGCACGAGCAAUGGUAA
Molecule: long non-coding RNA, 251 nt
Filed under: Pan troglodytes (chimpanzee)
Lineage: Eukaryota; Metazoa; Chordata; Mammalia; Primates; Hominidae
Description: long non-coding RNA NONPTRT014409
Source: RNAcentral